This 2898-nucleotide ribosomal RNA is filed under the name Klebsiella pneumoniae. RNAcentral's name for it is "bacterial LSU rRNA". It matches the Rfam family "Bacterial large subunit ribosomal RNA". The record is from RNAcentral. Lineage: Bacteria; Pseudomonadati; Pseudomonadota; Gammaproteobacteria; Enterobacterales; Enterobacteriaceae.
UUAAGCGACUAAGCGUACACGGUGGAUGCCCUGGCAGUCAGAGGCGAUGAAGGACGUGCUAAUCUGCGAAAAGCGUCGGUAAGGUGAUAUGAACCGUUANCCGGCGAUGUCCGAAUGGGGAAACCCAGUGCAAUUCGUUGCACUAUCGUUAACUGAAUACAUAGGUUAACGAGGCGAACCGGGGGAACUGAAACAUCUAAGUACCCCGAGGAAAAGAAAUCAACCGAGAUUCCCCCAGUAGCGGCGAGCGAACGGGGAGCAGCCCAGAGUCUGAAUCAGCUUGUGUGUUAGUGGAACGGUCUGGAAAGUCCGACGGUACAGGGUGAUAGUCCCGUACACCAAAAUGCACAGGCUGUGAACUCGAAGAGUAGGGCGGGACACGUGGUAUCCUGUCUGAAUAUGGGGGGACCAUCCUCCAAGGCUAAAUACUCCUGACUGACCGAUAGUGAACCAGUACCGUGAGGGAAAGGCGAAAAGAACCCCGGCGAGGGGAGUGAAAAAGAACCUGAAACCGUGUACGUACAAGCAGUGGGAGCACCUUCGGGUGUGACUGCGUACCUUUUGUAUAAUGGGUCAGCGACUUAUAUUCUGUAGCAAGGUUAACCGUAUAGGGGAGCCGCAGGGAAACCGAGUCUUAACUGGGCGUUAAGUUGCAGGGUAUAGACCCGAAACCCGGUGAUCUAGCCAUGGGCAGGUUGAAGGUUGGGUAACACUAACUGGAGGACCGAACCGACUAAUGUUGAAAAAUUAGCGGAUGACUUGUGGCUGGGGGUGAAAGGCCAAUCAAACCGGGAGAUAGCUGGUUCUCCCCGAAAGCUAUUUAGGUAGCGCCUCGUGAAUUCAUCUUCGGGGGUAGAGCACUGUUUCGGCUAGGGGGUCAUCCCGACUUACCAACCCGAUGCAAACUACGAAUACCGAAGAAUGUUAUCACGGGAGACACACGGCGGGUGCUAACGUCCGUCGUGAAGAGGGAAACAACCCAGACCGCCAGCUAAGGUCCCAAAGUCAUGGUUAAGUGGGAAACGAUGUGGGAAGGCACAGACAGCCAGGAUGUUGGCUUAGAAGCAGCCAUCAUUUAAAGAAAGCGUAAUAGCUCACUGGUCGAGUCGGCCUGCGCGGAAGAUGUAACGGGGCUAAACCAUGCACCGAAGCUGCGGCAGCGACACUAUGUGUUGUUGGGUAGGGGAGCGUUCUGUAAGCCUGCGAAGGUGACCUGUGAGGGUUGCUGGAGGUAUCAGAAGUGCGAAUGCUGACAUAAGUAACGAUAAAGCGGGUGAAAAGCCCGCUCGCCGGAAGACCAAGGGUUCCUGUCCAACGUUAAUCGGGGCAGGGUGAGUCGACCCCUAAGGCGAGGCCGAAAGGCGUAGUCGAUGGGAAACAGGUUAAUAUUCCUGUACUUGGUGUUACUGCGAAGGGGGGACGGAGAAGGCUAUGUUAGCCGGGCGACGGUUGUCCCGGUUUAAGCAUGUAGGCUGGUUAUCCAGGCAAAUCCGGAUAAUCAAGGCUGAGGUGUGAUGACGAGGCACUACGGUGCUGAAGUAACAAAUGCCCUGCUUCCAGGAAAAGCCUCUAAGCAUCAGGUAACAUCAAAUCGUACCCCAAACCGACACAGGUGGUCAGGUAGAGAAUACCAAGGCGCUUGAGAGAACUCGGGUGAAGGAACUAGGCAAAAUGGUGCCGUAACUUCGGGAGAAGGCACGCUGGUGUGUAGGUGAAGUCCCUGCGGAUGGAGCUGAGACCAGUCGAAGAUACCAGCUGGCUGCAACUGUUUAUUAAAAACACAGCACUGUGCAAACACGAAAGUGGACGUAUACGGUGUGACGCCUGCCCGGUGCCGGAAGGUUAAUUGAUGGGGUUAUCCGUAAGGAGAAGCUCUUGAUCGAAGCCCCGGUAAACGGCGGCCGUAACUAUAACGGUCCUAAGGUAGCGAAAUUCCUUGUCGGGUAAGUUCCGACCUGCACGAAUGGCGUAAUGAUGGCCAGGCUGUCUCCACCCGAGACUCAGUGAAAUUGAACUCGCUGUGAAGAUGCAGUGUACCCGCGGCAAGACGGAAAGACCCCGUGAACCUUUACUAUAGCUUGACACUGAACAUUGAGCCUUGAUGUGUAGGAUAGGUGGGAGGCUUUGAAGCGUGGACGCCAGUCUGCGUGGAGCCAACCUUGAAAUACCACCCUUUAAUGUUUGAUGUUCUAACGUUGGCCCCUUACCGGGGUUGCGGACAGUGUCUGGUGGGUAGUUUGACUGGGGCGGUCUCCUCCCAAAGCGUAACGGAGGAGCACGAAGGUUAGCUAAUCCUGGUCGGACAUCAGGAGGUUAGUGCAAUGGCAUAAGCUAGCUUGACUGCGAGCGUGACGGCGCGAGCAGGUGCGAAAGCAGGUCAUAGUGAUCCGGUGGUUCUGAAUGGAAGGGCCAUCGCUCAACGGAUAAAAGGUACUCCGGGGAUAACAGGCUGAUACCGCCCAAGAGUUCAUAUCGACGGCGGUGUUUGGCACCUCGAUGUCGGCUCAUCACAUCCUGGGGCUGAAGUAGGUCCCAAGGGUAUGGCUGUUCGCCAUUUAAAGUGGUACGCGAGCUGGGUUUAGAACGUCGUGAGACAGUUCGGUCCCUAUCUGCCGUGGGCGCUGGAGAAUUGAGGGGGGCUGCUCCUAGUACGAGAGGACCGGAGUGGACGCAUCACUGGUGUUCGGGUUGUCAUGCCAAUGGCACUGCCCGGUAGCUAAAUGCGGAAGAGAUAAGUGCUGAAAGCAUCUAAGCACGAAACUUGCCCCGAGAUGAGUUCUCCCUGAGACUUUAAGUCUCCUGAAGGAACGUUAAAGACGAUGACGUUGAUAGGCCGGGUGUGUAAGCGCAGCGAUGCGUUGAGCUAACCGGUACUAAUGAACCGUGAGGCUUAACCUU